Long non-coding RNA from Magnolia sinica, 341 nucleotides. RefSeq lists it as uncharacterized. The transcript is spliced from 3 exons. NCBI's taxonomy places the organism in Eukaryota, Viridiplantae, Streptophyta, Magnoliopsida, Magnoliales, Magnoliaceae. The record is from RefSeq and is a predicted model, not a curated record.
ACCCAUUUUCUUCCGUAAGGGUGUUGGCUGGAAAAUAAAUCAGCAAAGAAAGUUGAAAAUGGUGUUUCCUGCAGAUUCCCGCAAUUGCUUGAUAAACAGUGAAAGUGAGUUUCAUUCGAAACAAUGUGCACUUUUCCUUUCCCUGAAUCCAGACAGGCCUUGAGUGAAAAAAUUCAGUAAAUUUGAAAUUCAAUCAACGUUAUUGUUUAUCUGACUCUCAAUCCAAUCCAACAAGACUAAGUAAAGCUGGCACAAGCUCAAGCAUCAUGUCCAGGCGCGAAAUGCCUUCAUCACACCUCCUAUUUGAAGAAAGGAUUCAACGAACAACGAAAGUUCAAGCU